Molecule: ribosomal RNA, 1322 nt
Filed under: Triticum aestivum (bread wheat)
Lineage: Eukaryota; Viridiplantae; Streptophyta; Magnoliopsida; Poales; Poaceae
Description: partial small subunit ribosomal RNA
Source: RNAcentral
CGGUCACGGAUGUUUGGUUUCCCAGGAGAAGUCACGCGUGCGUGCGUUCGUUGGGUUUCGGGACUGCGGCUCCUAUCCUAAAACGAGGAGGGGGUUUAGGGAGGCCGGUACCGGAGGAAGGGCGACCGUAGGCGGCGGGCAAGGGAGGGGUGGUAUCGCAGGGUGGAGGGCCGUCGGCGCUGGUGGGCGUCGCAGAGGUAGGGCCGGAGGGGGCAGGGGCGCCGCUUCUUGCGGCGGAGGACGUCGGAGUCGUGGUCCUCGGCGGCGUCCGGUCGGCAAGCUGCCUUGCGGCGCCUCUGGAUGCACGGUCCGAGGCCGUUCAUGUAGCGCGGCCUGAUGGAGCACUUCUUCCACAGCCGGUCCCUCGACCUCCUCGAGCAGUCCCCCCUCGCCUUCCACGGCGAGUAGCACCUAAAGAUGCGAUGGACCACGCCCGGCACGCACGAGUACCGCGUCCUGCAGCUCUGCGAGCGCCAGCUCAUGCUCCUGUCGCGGAACAAACAGUUCCACCUGUGCCUGCUCCUCAUGCUCAAGCGCUCCCUAUACGUCCAUGCCCCUGACGGGUGCGACAUAAAGAAGUCGGGCCUAGUCCCGUUCCUGCGGCAAUCCUGGCUCCCCGACUAAGGAUAACUUUACCAGUCCUUGUAGUAGCUUUUGCUCGACACUCAAAACAGACCCGUUGCAUCACAGACAUCAUCGAUGUAAUAAAUCGACUCAGAACAUCAUCACUAAUCAUAAAGAAAUCCACGUCGGACGCCACCAACUAAGCUCGAAACACAACGACAAGCCGGCGUCCAAGCGCAUACGUUCUAGACGUACUCGUCUUACAUCGUAGUCCCAAACUCGGACUCUGAUUGUUUAACCAAGAGAUAACGUGAUAAGAACACACGAAACAGUAACUCUCGUACUAACCGAACGACGGUUAUAAACCGAUCGGAACGUGGCAGCCGCCAACACGACUAUCCAAGUAGAGCAGAGAUAAAGGACCACCAAUUUGUCAGUCAGUGCAGAGGGUAAUGGACACAAUACACGUAAAAGGUCAAGCAACCGCCAACAAGAUACGCCUAAACCAACCAAAUAUACGAAACGUGCGCUACAUAAACAACAAGAAGGUUUACACCUAUGCCACCACAACAUCAAGUAUUUGCACACUACGACGUACAUGAACUACCUAUUUGUACCAACGAUCCAAGAGACGACCGGAAACAAUUACCUACGGAGUAGAAGACCCACUAGCACCAGCCACCACGUAACGGUGCCGGCUCAGAACCGAGCAGAACGAGAUAAGAUCACACCCGACGAAGAAAGGACGAAGACGGAGG